GAUCCUGGCUCAGGAUGAACGCUGGCGGCGUGCUCAACACAUGCAAGUCGAGCGAAGCACUUAGGAAAGAUUCUUCGGAUGAUUUCCUAUUUUGACUGAGCGGCGGACGGGUGAGUAACGCGUCGGUAACCUGCCUCAUACAGGGGGAUAACAGUUAGAAAUGACUGCUAAUACCGCAUAAGAUCACAGCACCGCAUGGUGCAGGGGUAAAAACUCCGGUGGUAUGAGAUGGACCCG
This 237-nucleotide ribosomal RNA is filed under the name uncultured bacterium. Its description in RNAcentral is "partial 16S ribosomal RNA". It matches the Rfam family "Bacterial small subunit ribosomal RNA", at positions 15 to 233 of the family's 1533-position model. The record is from RNAcentral.